GUGUCAGCAGCCGCGGUAAUACGGAGGGUGCGAGCGUUGUCCGGAAUCACUGGGCGUAAAGGGCGCGUAGGCGGUCUGCUAAGCGUGCGGUGAAAGCCUGGGGCUCAACCCCAGGUCUGCCGUGCGAACUGGUGGACUAGAGCACUGUAGAGGCGAGUGGAAUUCCGGGUGUAGCGGUGGAAUGCGUAGAGAUCCGGAAGAACACCGGUGGCGAAGGCGGCUCGCUGGGCAGUAGCUGACGCUGAUGCGCGACAGCGUGGGGAGCAAACAGGAUUAGAAACCCUUGUAGUCC
Molecule: ribosomal RNA, 292 nt
Filed under: uncultured bacterium
Lineage: Bacteria
Description: partial 16S ribosomal RNA
Rfam family: Bacterial small subunit ribosomal RNA
Source: RNAcentral